Molecule: ribosomal RNA, 484 nt
Filed under: uncultured bacterium
Lineage: Bacteria
Description: partial 16S ribosomal RNA
Rfam family: Bacterial small subunit ribosomal RNA
Source: RNAcentral
GACGAACGCUGGCGGCGUGCUUAACACAUGCAAGUCGAACGAUGAACCCGGAGCUUGCUCCGGCGGAUUAGUGGCGAACGGGUGAGUAGCACGUGAGUAACCUGCCCUUGACUCUGGGAUAACUGCUAGAAAUGGUAGCUAAUACCGGAUACGACCCUCGGUGGCAUCACCAGGGGGUGGAAAGAAUUUCGGUCAAGGAUGGACUCGCGGCCUAUCAGCUAGUUGGUGAGGUAACGGCUCACCAAGGCGACGACGGGUAGCCGGCCUGAGAGGGUGACCGGCCAGACUGGGACUGAGACACGGCCCAGACUCCUACGGGAGGCAGCAGUGGGGAAUAUUGCACAAUGGGCGCAAGCCUGAUGCAGCGACGCCGCGUGAGGGAUGACGGCCUUCGGGUUGUAAACCUCUUUUAGUAGGGAAGAAGCGAAAGUGACGGUACCUGCAGAAAAAGCACCGGCUAACUACGUGCCAGCCGCCGCAGUAA